Symphalangus syndactylus (siamang) is the source of this 107-nucleotide small nuclear RNA. The record is from RefSeq and is a predicted model, not a curated record. Lineage: Eukaryota; Metazoa; Chordata; Mammalia; Primates; Hylobatidae.
GUUCAAUUCUUGCGUCAACAUGUAUGAACACUGGAACAAGACAGAGAAGAUUAGCACGGCCCCUCCGCAAGGAUCAUGUGCAAAUUUAGGAAGCAUUCCGUGUUUUU